UACGUAGGGGGCUAGCGUUGUCCGGAAUCAUUGGGCGUAAAGCGCGCGUAGGCGGCCCGGUAAGUCCGCUGUAAAAGUCAAAGGCUCAACCUUUGAAUGUCAGUGGAUACUGCCGGGCUAGAGUCCGGAAGAGGCGAGUGGAACUCCUGGUGUAGCGGUGGAAUGCGCAGAUAUCAGGAGGAACACCAAUUGCGAAGGCAGCUCGCUGGGACGUUACUGACGCUGAGACGCGAAAGCGUGGGGAGCAAACAGG
This 253-nucleotide ribosomal RNA is filed under the name uncultured bacterium. RNAcentral's name for it is "partial 16S ribosomal RNA". It matches the Rfam family "Bacterial small subunit ribosomal RNA", at positions 524 to 776 of the family's 1533-position model. The record is from RNAcentral.